GUCAGGUAAUUCGAAUGUGGGAG
This 23-nucleotide non-coding RNA is filed under the name Cricetulus griseus (Chinese hamster). Lineage: Eukaryota; Metazoa; Chordata; Mammalia; Rodentia; Cricetidae. The record is from RNAcentral.